This 469-nucleotide ribosomal RNA is filed under the name uncultured bacterium. RNAcentral's name for it is "bacterial SSU rRNA". It matches the Rfam family "Bacterial small subunit ribosomal RNA", at positions 29 to 507 of the family's 1533-position model. The record is from RNAcentral.
AAUGAACGUUGGCGGCGUGGAUUAGGCAUGCAAGUCGCGCGAGAAAUUUCCUUCGGGAAAUGGACAGCGGCGGAAGGGAGAGGAAUAAGUAGAAACCUGCCCUCGGGACGGGGAUAGCGGUGGGAAACUGCCGGUAAUACCCGAUAACAUCUUUGGAUCAAAUGGUGUGAUUCCGCCUGAGGAUGAGUCUACUUCCUAUUAGCUAGUUGGUGGGGUAAUGGCCUACCAAGGCAACGAUGGGUAGCGGGUGUGAGAGCACGACCCGCCUCACUGGGACUGAGACACUGCCCAGACACCUACGGGUGGCUGCAGUCGAGAAUCUUCGGCAAUGGGGGAAACCCUGACCGAGCGACGCCGCGUGCGGGAUGAAGGCCCUUGGGUUGUAAACCGCUGUCGUAAGGGAACAAAUCCAUAGGGGUACUCCCCUAUGGUUGAGUGAUCUUAGGAGGAAGGACGGGCUAAGUUCGUG